Alligator mississippiensis (American alligator) is the source of this 1224-nucleotide long non-coding RNA. RefSeq lists it as uncharacterized. The transcript has 5 exons. The record is from RefSeq and is a predicted model, not a curated record. Lineage: Eukaryota; Metazoa; Chordata; Crocodylia; Alligatoridae.
UUGGCUGUUGGAUCUCUGAGGGACUUUAUUUUCUUUGUUGAAUCUAGAAACACACACAAACAAGUCUUCCAUUAAUAUUUGGUCUUGAUGCUGAGAAGAAAGAAACUGAGAAACACAGACCAGACACUAGUGAGGGUCUUCAUAAUGGUGGACAUCCUCACCUUCUGUAGGAUUUCUACCACCUGCUUCUUCAGAAAGGACAAGAAAGAUUUUAAGUACUGCUCAUAUACAAAAGGAAAGAAGAAUCAAUACAAGUUAUCAAAGCCAGAGGUGAGAAACCAGUUUAUUUUUGUUUUUUCAAGUGAGGCUAAUGCUGGUAAGAAGUUACUGGAUAGGCCUGGAGACUAAAGAUCCAUUGGGGAUGAAAGCAAAGGAACCACCAUCUGGUACAAAGUGGUUUCUCCUGUCUUUCUUCUAGUCACGGACCGAAGAGGGGAUGUUGUUCUGCUGCGUUUGUGUUGACAAGGACUCCCUUUUAAAGUUAUGGAGUUGCCGAUCUGCCUCUAUCAGACCUCCCUCUAGCAGACAUGACUACACGUGCAUCUCAUUGCACCAAUGGCUUUGGCAUCACAUCAGCCUCUGAAAAACUAACUGAUUUGAACAACAUCUGUCUAGCCAAAUCUGUAGCUCCAACUGUAGGCCAAUUUACUUCUAAGCCCCAAACAGAUUCACAUGAAGCAUGGUACCUAAGUAACAAUAAUACAAAAGUGUACAGUAGUACAAAGAAGCAAGUCUGCCAAAAAAAGUCAGAAGAAACAGCGACAAACAGGCACGCAUCUAGUAACAAAUAGUAGAUCCCAAUGAAGUCGAACACUUCCUUUGGAGGACCUCUUGUCUAAAUACACAAUUAAAUUCAGUGUGAGGUCCUUUCUCUUUGCUGUUAAAUCAGAGGCCCAUAAAGUUAAUUCAAACAACAGAAAAAAAACAGGCAGUGCCACCUCUGUAUCACUCUGAUUUCAUUCCCAAUUGUUCUGUAUUGAGUUUGAUAACACUUAUCACUAACCAAGAGCAAAAAUGUUGACACAGCUACAGCUCCUCUCACAAAGAAGAGGCUCUCUGUCACAGAACUCUGGUGAAGAUUCCUGUUAUUUCUGAAAUGAUUCACUGAAGUGUUGAAGAUUGAAUCUAACAUCCUGGGAAAUUAUGCAUUAUGCAUCAUUUAAAGUUGUUCUAUUUAACAGACUUAACAUAAAACCUAUAUAUCAGACUACAUUAAAAGUUUCA